UGCUUGCUUCGGAAGCAGAUAUAUAAAAUUGGAACAAUACAGAGAUUAGGAUGGCCCCUGUUCAAGGAUGACACGCAAAUUUGUGAAGCACUCCAUAUUUUU
Pteronotus mesoamericanus is the source of this 102-nucleotide small nuclear RNA. Lineage: Eukaryota; Metazoa; Chordata; Mammalia; Chiroptera; Mormoopidae. The record is from RefSeq and is a predicted model, not a curated record.